This 433-nucleotide long non-coding RNA is filed under the name Mytilus galloprovincialis (Mediterranean mussel). Lineage: Eukaryota; Metazoa; Mollusca; Bivalvia; Mytilida; Mytilidae. The record is from RNAcentral.
AAAUAAUAUUGCCGUGGAACUUUUAUUCAUGUGAGUGUAAUAGUCUAUAGAUUAGUUGGUGGAAUAGUCAAAUAGAAGUUAAUACGUUCUUGCUCAAUCCUGCGUCGCUUUGAAGGUGUCAUGAUUGCCAUCCUCAGCCUAAGCAAUGUGUUACUGUAAUUUGAAUUUCAAAAUGACUUAGCGACGUUUUUUUUCGACGCACUGUUCAACUCCACCAUUGAGAAUUACAUGACUUUGACAAUCAGUAAAUUCCAGCGACAAAUAUCUUUAUAAGUAAAGAAUUGUCGCAUAAAAAUUAAAUACUACAGUACACGAGAAAUGGCAAAGUUCACGAAGUCUAGUCUAAUUAAUCAUUUUACCAAAAAAAAAAAAAAAAAAGCCCCAGCCCUCUACGCCCCCUCUGGAUCCGCCACUGAUGUUUCACUGUCCCGAU